AUUGGCACCCUGAGAGCAGGAUUAUCUGGCUAUGUAGACUCUCUCCUCAGGCCCUACGCUACCAGCACUCCCAGAUAUCUUCGAGACACCACUGACUUCCUGAGGAAACUACAAUCCAUCGGUGAUCUUCCAGAAAAUACCAUCCUAGCCACUAUGGAUGUAGAAGCUCUCUACACGAACAUUCCACGCAAAGAUGGACUACAUGCCGUCAGGAAUAGAGUCCCUGAUACUAUCACGGCAAAUCUGGUGGCUGAACUUUGUGACUUUGUCCUCACCCACAACUAUUUCAGAUUUGGGGACAAUUUAUACCUUCAAGUCAGCGGGACUGCUAUGAGUACCCGCAUGGCCCCACAGUAUGCCAACAUUUUUAUGGCUGACUUAGAACAAUGCUUCCUCAGCUCUCGGCCCCUAACGCCCCUACUCUACUUACGCUACACUGAUGACAUCUUCAUCAUAUGGACCCACAGGAAGGAGGCCCUUGAGGAAUUCCACCAGGAUUUCAACAAUUUCCACCCCACAAUCAACCUCAGCCUGGACCAGUCCACACAAGAAGUCCACUUCCUAGAUACUACGGUGCUAAUAAGCAAUGGUCACAUAAACACCACCCUAUACUGGAAACCUACUGACCACUAUACUUACCUACAUGCCUCCAGCUUUCAUCCAGACCACAUCACACGAUCCAUUGUCUACAGCCAAGCUCUAAGAUACGACUGCAUUUGCUCCCAUUCCUCAGACAGAGACAAACACCUACAGGAUCUCUAUAAAGCAUUCUUAAAACUACAAUACCCACCUGGUGAAGUGAAGAAACAGAUUGACAGAACCAGAAGGGUACCCAGAAGUCACCUACUACAAGACAGGCCCAACAAAGAAAGUAACAGAACGCCACUAGCCGUCACCUACAGCUCCCAACUAAAACCUCUACAGCGCAUCAUCAAGGAUCUACAACCUAUCCUGAAGGACGAUCCCUCACUCUCACAGACCUUGGGAGACAGGCCAGUCCUCGCUUAUAGACAGCCCCCCAACCUGAAGCAAAUACUCACCAGGAACUACACACCACACAACUAAAACACCAACCCAGGAACCAAACCCUGCAACAAAUCAUGGUGCCAACUCUGUCCACAUAGCUAUUCAAGGGACACCAUCAUAGGACCUAACCACAUCAGCCACACCAUCAGGGGCUCGUUCACCUGCACAUCUACCAAUGUGAUAUAUGCCAUCAUG
This 1221-nucleotide long non-coding RNA is filed under the name Chrysemys picta bellii (western painted turtle). Its description in RNAcentral is "lncRNA (ENSCPBG00000021557.1)". The record is from RNAcentral. Lineage: Eukaryota; Metazoa; Chordata; Testudines; Emydidae.